CUACAUGAAGCUGGAGUUACUAGUAAUCGCAGAUCAGAAUGCUGCGGUGAAUGCGUUCCCGGGUCUUGUACACACCGCCCGUCACACCACGGGAGUUGGAGACGCCCGAAGCCGAUUAUCUAACCUUGUGGAAGAAGUCGUCGAAGGUGGAAUCAAUAACUGGGGUGAAGCCGUACCAAGGUAGCCGUAUCGGAAGGUGCGGCUGGAUCA
RNAcentral lists this ribosomal RNA (210 nucleotides) under Clostridioides difficile. Its description in RNAcentral is "partial 16S ribosomal RNA". It matches the Rfam family "Bacterial small subunit ribosomal RNA", at positions 1316 to 1525 of the family's 1533-position model. The record is from RNAcentral. Lineage: Bacteria; Bacillati; Bacillota; Clostridia; Peptostreptococcales; Peptostreptococcaceae.